This is a long non-coding RNA of Chenopodium quinoa (quinoa), 1769 nucleotides long. RefSeq lists it as uncharacterized. The transcript has 2 exons. The record is from RefSeq and is a predicted model, not a curated record. NCBI's taxonomy places the organism in Eukaryota, Viridiplantae, Streptophyta, Magnoliopsida, Caryophyllales, Amaranthaceae.
UGUAAUUACUUACAAGCCUAAAUUUAAAGAUACGUGAAAGAGUGCUCUAACACGUUCCGAGUGCUUUUCAAACCUCUAUAAAUAGAAGACAAACAGAUCCUCAGAAACAACAAAGCAAAAUAAAUUUCCACCAACUCGAGUCCGAAUAGCUUCCUAAGUAUCCAAAGACAUGGAAAAGACUGUCAAAUCAGCACUGUUGGUGCUCCUCUUUGUUAUUGCAAUUGGUUUACCAGUGGGUCAAUCGUGUUCCAGCUCAUACGACUGCAGAAUAACAGGCUGUCCCUGUGUUAAUCAUGAGUGUAAAUGCUCGUACCAAACAACAAAUAUAAACUCACAAGUGCCACCAAAGCCACCAACAGCAAAUAUAAACUCACGAGUGCCACCAAAGCCACCAACAUCCUAUCGAAAGGUGCAGAGUCCCCAACUGCCAUGAUGGAGCCGACAUAUCUGAUACACCCCUACAAUAAUGUUAAGAAAUACUAUGAAAAUUCCCUUUAGAAUCAGAUUAGUGAGAAUAAAAAAUAUAUAUGAAUAAUACAAAUAAAAUGAACAAAUAGUUGUAUCUCUAAUUAUGCUGCAAAAUUUAUUGAAAAAAUAAAUAAUAUACAAGUGUUCACAACACUUAUUAUAACUCACAACCAUAUGCACCCCAAUCACACCCGAGAAUUUUCUCUAAAAAAUUCUCUUAAAGCUUCUCUCUCUUCUUUAUGUUUUCUUUUGUUUUUGGGAUGAAUAUAACAAAUCAUAACUUAUGUUUAUAUAGAUCCUAUAUUUCUAUAUAUGGCUUCUUAAAUUAAGAAAACUAUUUUCUCCUUCACAUUUCGUAGGAAACAUUCACGUAUUGCUAAGAAAUUCUAAGGCUUAUAUUUGUUUUCCUUUUUUAAAUUGUGGUGAUCUUAACAAUCUCCCACUUGAAGACUAAUUUUAAUUUGUCUUCACACCUAAUGCAGCUCAACUUGCUCGUAUGUUACUUAUGUAGGCCAACUAAAGUUGAACACAACUUCAGUUUGUCAAUAGUCACCGUCUUUGUUAACAUAUCUGCCGGAUUCUCAGUUCCUGUAAUUUUCUCCGGUUUUAACACUUCAUCUUCUAAUAGAGAUCUUAUGAAAUGAUAGCGAAGUCCAAUAUGCUUAGUUUUAGAAUGAAAUGCUGAAUUCUUUGCCAGGUGUAUUGCACUUUGAUUGUCACUGUACAAUACAUUAUUCUUUUGCUUGAAUCCCAACUCAGUUAACAAACCUUGAAGCCAUAUCAUCUCCUUACUAGCUUUGGCUACCGCUACAUAUUCAGCCUCUGUAGUGGAAAAAGCGACAAUCUUUUGUAGUUGCAACAACCGUGAAUAUAUAACCUGUGGUGCUUUUUACGACGAUCGACUUCUCCUCCAAAGUUUGCAUCGACAUAACCUUGUAGUGUUAAAUUACCUUUACCAAAGUACAAGCACUUUUCUGUAGUACCUCGUAGAUACCUCAAAAUCCACUUCACUGCUUCCCAAUGAAUUUUUCCUGGAUUUGACAUAAACCUGCUAACAACUCCUAUGGCAUGUCCAAUAUCCGGUCUAAUACAAACCAUUGUGUACAUCAAACUACCAAUGGUUGAGGCAUAUGGAACCUUAGCCAUAUAAUCUUUAUCUUCCUCCGUUUGAGGCGAUUGAUCCCUAGAUAAUCGAAAGUGACUUGCCAAGGGUGUAGGCUUGGCAUCACUCAUAUUAAAUCUCUGUAAAAACACGUUUGAUGUAUUCUGAUUGAGAUAAUUGCAAAGUACCUUUAUGGUUA